CCUUUCUCUCUUCCACUAGCUCCACCUCUAGAUAGUCUUCCUUUCCAUUACACUCGUCGUUAUUCUACUCCUCCAGCCAGUACUUUCCAUUACACUCGUUGUUCUAAAGUUCCAUGUGACACGCAGUCAUCUAUGCCUUUGUCUUCUACUCCUCCAGCCAGUACUACUGAUCCUUGCACUGACGGCUCUUCUCUAGCAACGCGAUACAAGGACUUGUAUGCAGGGGUUGUUUCUGAGCCUAGUACCUAUCAGGAGGCAGUAGUGUCACCUGAGUGGCAACUGGCUAUGUCUGAGGAGCUUGCAGCCUUAGAGCGUACUGGUACAUGGGAUUUGGUACCAUUACCUCCUCGUUCAGUCCCUAUCACUUGCAAAUGGGUGUAUAAGGUUAAAACCAAGUCAAAUGGUUCUGUGGAACUCUACAAGGCCCGCCUUGUUGCAAGA
Molecule: ribosomal RNA, 441 nt
Filed under: Triticum aestivum (bread wheat)
Lineage: Eukaryota; Viridiplantae; Streptophyta; Magnoliopsida; Poales; Poaceae
Description: partial small subunit ribosomal RNA
Source: RNAcentral